GCCUCCUUAGCUCAGCUGGCCAGAGCACCGCUCUUGUAAAGCGUAGGUCGUCGGUUCGAAUCCGACAGGGGGCU
RNAcentral lists this transfer RNA (74 nucleotides) under Kitasatospora purpeofusca. Its description in RNAcentral is "tRNA-Thr". It matches the Rfam family "tRNA". Rfam says of the family: Transfer RNA (tRNA) molecules are approximately 80 nucleotides in length. Lineage: Bacteria; Bacillati; Actinomycetota; Actinomycetes; Kitasatosporales; Streptomycetaceae. RNAcentral also lists the same sequence under 46 other names. The record is from RNAcentral.